ACAAGAAGCUUGCAUUAUUAUCGAAACUUAAUAUAUAGCUUGCGACAUACGUACAUACUAUCGUAUAUACAUAUGUCAAUUUCCUGUCAGCUAUUUGGAAAAGACUCGAAACUUUACAAAUAAGUAUAUUUGUAGUUGAAACUAGUUGACAUCACAGUAUUAGACUAUUAGAGUGUUAGUGUACACUCUAAAUAGAUGAAAAAAUACAUCCAACAAUUCAUAUAAGAAAAAAAAAAAAGGACAAUGCCCAUUAGCCCUAAUUUUAAGAAUUUUAUUUUCACAAACAAAAUCAGAUUUUAAAAUUCCCAAGAGUCAACUUAAACAGGAAAAAGACAAUUAUACUCUUAAUGAUUUAAAUAAACUAUAAUAGACCAUUAUUAUUAUUAUUAUUAUUUAAAUAAAUAAAACUUUUUAUUAAAUAACUCACACACCCUUACAUAUGUCAGCGAGGUUUGAACUCAUGACCUCAACGUUGUCAGUUAGGCUACCUAACCAACUAGGUCACGGCUCACCGACGUAUAAUAGACCAUUAUAAGAAUAAUAGAAGGUCUAUUUUGAAAUAAAUAUCUAUGACCGGAUUCUUGCACACCAAUGACCGUUGACCGUGACUCCGGCAACCGUUGACCAGAAUCCGACGACCGUUGACCGGGAUCCGACGACAUUGACCGGAGUUCGGUGACCGUUGACUGAACUCCGAUGACCGUUGACCGGACUCCGACGACGGUUGACCAGUCUCCGGUGACCGGAUGUCUAUUGAGGGCAGUAGAAGGUUUAUUGGGGGCAGUAGAAGGUUUAUUGGGGGCAGUAGGACCUCCUAUUGGGGCAGUAGGACCACCUAUUAGGGUCAGUAGGACCCUUAAACUUAACCGUGCUUUAGUCACUUAUAACAUGUCCCUAUUGGGGCUGUAUGACCACCUAUUGGGGGCAAUAUGACCACCUAUUGGGGUCAGUAGGCCACCUAUUAGGGGCAGUAUGACCUCCUACUAGGGUCAGUAGGACCCUUAAACUUAACUGUGUUUUAGUCACUUAUAUCAGGUCUUUAUUGGGGGCAGUAUGACCACCUAUUGCGGUCAGUAGGGCCUCCUAUUGGGGUCAGUAGGACCUUCUAUUGGGGGCAGUAUCAUUCAAAAUGGAAACCAAGUUCUUGUACACCCAACACUGUUUUCUUAAAAAAAGAAAAACUAAAAAAUUGACACGAAAAUAAGCAUAGCAUAAGAGAGACUUCAAAUCCAACCAUUCUAUGUAUCAAUUAUAGCUAUUUAAAAAAUCUUGACAUAUAAAUAAAUCAAGUGGUCAAUUAGAGGCUUAGAGGGGCAUUCCCAUCUAGUGAUACCAUACAAGUCUUCCCGGUAUAUUCAACCAUAUACAUAUAAACCAGAAAGAAGUACCAAGUCCUAACAGCUAUAGUAAUGGAAUAAUCAAAUAGAAAUAGUUAAGGUAAAGCAAAAUGAGAGAAAGAUGCAGGGAAUAUAUGAUUUCUACUAUAGAUUGAGGGCACAUGAAAGCUUACACAGUGGACUACUCCACACAAAUUUGCAAAGCGAAAUCAAAAAGCCAGAAGAAAUUAAUUAAGAAAGGAUUAAGAAACCCCUAAGAAAACAUUGUCUGUUUAAAAAAACUUAGCUAGCUAACUCAUAUCCACAAUCCACAAUUUUCACUUCAUCAUAUCAAAUCAGAUCAAACCCUAACUCCAAUCCAUCACACAUCAAAUCAAACCAAAGCAUUCAAAUUCCCAAUUUCUCCGGGCAAAGUCUUCAUCUUGUUGAACGAAAGGCCCAAAUACUCCAAGCUCUUCAAGCAUCAAAUCUCCGGCGGUAGAAAAGUUAUAGAGAAAUAACAUACCGAUAGCUUAGUCAGGAGCUUGAGCCCGGCGACCUAGAUAAGAAUUAGAACCGCCGAGCACAGGGACGUGACUUUGGAGAGCUCCAGCUCCUUCAGCCCUUGAACUUGUGCAGCGGCAAGCCGUCGAACUCCGGCGACGAGAUCCUCAGGCAUUCGAGGCUCACCAAGUCUCCUGGACUAGCCAGUCGACAUUGAUGGAGGUGGGCUUCGCCGGCAGCGUCGUUGUCGGGUCUGUGUCAGCGACGUCGUCAUCGAGCAGAGAGAGAGAGAGAGAGAGAGAGUAGAUACGAAUGAGGGGAUGGAAGAAAGAGAAAGAGAUAAUAAGAGGCAGGGGUAAUUUGGUCAGGAAAAAAACACAAAAGGUUAAAAAUUUUGUUAGUGAGAAUAGAUCUGUUAAGAGUGUAUGGGUUGAUGGGAAUAUUGAAAUCUGUUUUUGUUAGUGGGAAAAAGAUCCCCAAAUUUAGGGCUAGUGUGAAUUUUCCUAAAAAAAAAAAGUAGCUUAAAGUCUAAACUUCUUCAAAAAUGUAAGAAAAGGCCGUACUAUCAAUAUUGUCGGUUGAAUAUUGCUGGAGGAACCAUCUUUUUUGGUAAUACAUGCAUCACAUCUUAUGUGAGAAUUGAAGUGACACAAUAUGCACGACACAAUAUGCACGCCAUUUAAGAAUAGGUUCGGCUUUGUGGUACAUAUAUAAACUGCCGAUAAGGUGAUAUGCAGAUGAUAACCAAAUAGUUGGUUCACCGAACAUUAGAGUAUUGGCAACAAUACCACUGUUGGAAUAGCUAGGCUUUUACAUUAG
RNAcentral lists this long non-coding RNA (2639 nucleotides) under Fragaria vesca (wild strawberry). Its description in RNAcentral is "long non-coding RNA (FVES_LNC002478)". Lineage: Eukaryota; Viridiplantae; Streptophyta; Magnoliopsida; Rosales; Rosaceae. The record is from RNAcentral.